AACGAACGCUGGCGGCAUGCCUAACACAUGCAAGUCGAACGCUUGUCCGGCUUCGGCCGGACAGGAGUGGCGCACGGGUGAGUAGCGCGUGGGAACCUGCCCUGUUGUGGGGGAUAACCGAGGGAAACUUCGGCUAAUACCGCAUGCGCCCCCGGACUUGAUCCGGGGGGAAAGAUUUAUCGCAGCAGGAGGGGCCCGCGUCGGAUUAGCUGGUUGGUGGGGUAACGGCCUACCAAGGCGAUGAUCCGUAGCUGGUCUGAGAGGAUGAUC
RNAcentral lists this ribosomal RNA (270 nucleotides) under uncultured bacterium. RNAcentral's name for it is "partial 16S ribosomal RNA". It matches the Rfam family "Bacterial small subunit ribosomal RNA", at positions 29 to 305 of the family's 1533-position model. The record is from RNAcentral.